CAAACUACAAUCGUUUAAACAAACUGAGCAGAGGAAAAAUCAAACCCACGAUAAAUCACCAAUGAAAUCAAACUUUUCUAAAUUUUAACAAAAACGUUAAAAAAACAAAGUUUUCUCCCUUUUCUGGGAUAAUUUUCUCACCUACAUUUCUUUGGAAACUUUGCCGUUGUAUUUUUUCUUCCCUUUCCUUUUAUAUAUAUCCAUCCCGCAGUAUCUUCUUCUCAUGUUUCGUUCUAUUAGCACUGUUAACAACCAUGAAACGGGUAUCUUCCGCUAAUGUUUUCAGUACCAUCGCCACAACGACCCUUCUUACCUCUCCUUAUAGACCUCCCGAUAAGGGUAACUGCAAAAGCAACAACGUUAAAGUUAUGGGUAAUAAGAAAACAGGCGUUCAUGGCAAUGUUGCUGAUUAUCACGUUUUCAAUGGCGGCGUUCAUUCUGGGAAACCCUCUUUCAUGAAGUGGACACUCAAUGACGUUGUUAACGUGGUGAGAUCUCAUCGGAUACCAUGUGUUUUCGCGGUGGGGAUGGUGUUUUUCAUGUACGUGGAAUACACGAUCCGGAUGGUGCCUCAUUCCUCGCCGCCCUUGGACUGGGGGUUCCUCCUCACCCGCUCUUUCCAUCGCGCGUUGGCUUCGCGGCCGCUACUUAACACGGUUUUAGCAGCUCUUAAUACGGUAGUUUAAAGCUUUUAAUUUUUCUUUAAAGAUCCUUUUUCUUUUUUCCCCUUUUUCUUGAAAUUAAUCGCUUGAUGUACUUUGAAUUUGUUUGCAAUAUUAAGCCAAAAAAAAAAAAGGUUUGAACCCAAUCCAACUUUGGUUCCAUUUAUGUUGUGUUUAGGUGUUCGUUCUGAUGCAGACAGUUUAUAUAGUAUGGGCAUGGAUAAUCGAGGGUCGGCCAAGGGCUACAAUCUCUGCUUUGUUCAUGUUUACAUGUCGUGGGAUUCUUGGUUGCUCAACGCAGCUCCCAUUACCUCAGGUUAAUACUCCAUUUUUAUGUUUUUCCCUUUCCCAGUUUUUGUUUUAUCUUUUUUUGGGCUAAGAUAGCACUGUCUUUUUUCUUCUUCUUUUUUUUUUUUUUGUGUGUGUGUGUAGACAUGAAAUCGAGACUUUAUUUUAUAGAUAUUAAUUUGAUUGUAAAUUGGCUGAUGAAUGGCAGGAAUUUUUAGGGUCUGGGGUAGAUUUUCCAGUAGGGAAUGUGUCGUUUUUCCUUUUCUUCUCAGGGCACGUAGCCGGAGCAGUGAUUGCAUCGUUAGACAUGAGACGAAUGCAGAGACGGGGAAUGGCUUGGUUAUUUGACAUUCUCAAUGUGCUUCAAUCACUCAGGCUGUUAGCUACCAGGGGUCACUAUACUAUUGAUUUGGCUGUUGGCCUUGGUGCUGGAAUUUUAUUUGAUUUUCUUGCUGGUAAAUAUGAACAAAGCAAGACAACGAAAACCUCCACUUUCUCUCGUUCCAUGAAAGAGAUUUGUUAACCCUUCACUCUUUUAAUGAUUUCCGGAUUUAGAUGCUACUCAGCAAGCUUCAUAUAUGUAUAUAUUUUCUAUCAUACUGUAAACAUUAUCAUCUGGCAUUGGUAAAUGGCAAACACAAAACUCUCGCAAAUUAAAAAUUCCAAAAAUUAAAUAUACCAAUACCAAACAUGUAUCUAUUUUGAUAUUUCGAGUAUGAUAACAUAAUUAUUAAAGGGUCCGAAAAUGAUGGGAUUUUGAGUGGUACCUAUCACCGACCGUGUGGCCGAAAAGGGUCGAGUUGAGACGGAAAGAAUGACCAAGUUGUUGCCAUUCCUCGCACGCUUUUGCGGCUGUUUUUAACUUCGCUAGACAAAGAACUCAACUUGGCAAGAUAGGAGGAUAACUUUGCUUGGAUAGGGAGAGAGAGGAGACCUACAAAAAUAUGUAAACCAUGGCAACUAGAUUAGUUAAAACAAGUAAAGGGCUAAAACAAACAAAACCUGACUACAAAAGUAUAUGGAUGUCGUUUCACCACAUCUCUUCUAAUCUAAACAAGCAACAAAUACCACCUUCCUUUUUCUAUUAUCCACAAUUUCUUCCCGCAUUUUAAAAGACUAUAUAAUUUGACAAUAACCCCAAAAUCUUCAAAUUUUGGCUUUAGCUACAAACCGACCAUGGCUUCUAUAAAACCCAGUUUUUCUUUUGAACCCACUAAUUGAGUCGACACCAUAAUGGCUUUAAUCAUAUCUGCAUUGUUAAAGCCCAACUCCUUACCUUUUUCACCUCUUCAAAGAGUAACACC
Molecule: long non-coding RNA, 2254 nt
Filed under: Gossypium barbadense (sea-island cotton)
Lineage: Eukaryota; Viridiplantae; Streptophyta; Magnoliopsida; Malvales; Malvaceae
Description: long non-coding RNA (GBAR_LNC016034)
Source: RNAcentral